CGGGACCCAUUUCCGGUCGGACGGCCUCCCUCCUCCUGCACAGCCCCCUCCCCAACAACCAUCACUCUCCUCCCAUCCCAACCCCCGCCCCCCCCCCCACCGACUCCAGCUCCUGAUUCACAACUUUCCACCGGCGAUAAAGAAACAAAAAGAAGACACGAACAUCCGCCCGCCCGGCUUGCGUCCGCGCUUUCGGAGAAGAAAGGCUUUAAAACAUCAGAAAACAAAACUCCAUUCCGUCUGCAAACGUCGAGAGCCCUCGGUCUUUUUGUCUGCCCGGUGCAACAUGACGUCCCAACUCCUUUAUUCAAUGUUCUGACCAAUGAAUGAGCAGAAAAGUCCAGGCUGAGACACCCAGAGUCUGCACCAGAGGAUCUGGAGACAAAACCUUACAGUUGUGAUAUUGAACUGAAGUCCCCUCUGCCGUUUCAUGGGAAAGUAAAUAAAACAAAAAUCACCCAACUCCGUUCAAAAAAAGAGCCAGAACUUUCUAAUUCCGUGACUUGUAUAAUACGGUCUGUCAAUAAAGAUCAGACAAAAAAUGA
This is a long non-coding RNA of Rhincodon typus (whale shark), 545 nucleotides long. RefSeq lists it as uncharacterized. NCBI's taxonomy places the organism in Eukaryota, Metazoa, Chordata, Chondrichthyes, Orectolobiformes, Rhincodontidae. The record is from RefSeq and is a predicted model, not a curated record. The transcript has 2 exons.